GAGUAACACGUAGGCAACCUGCCCGUAAGGCUGGGAUAACUCACGGAAACGUGAGCUAAUACCGGAUAGGAGAUUCCCUUGCAUGAGGGGAUCUGGAAAGGCGGAGCAAUCUGUCACUUACGGAUGGGCCUGCGGCGCAUUAGCUGGUUGGUGAGGUAACGGCUCACCAAGGCGACGAUGCGUAGCCGACCUGAGAGGGUGAUCGGCCACACUGGGACUGAGACACGGCCCAGACUCCUACGGGAGGCAGCAGUAGGGAAUCUUCGGCAAUGGACGAAAGUCUGACCGAGCAACGCCGCGUGAGUGAGGAAGGUUUUCGGAUCGUAAAGCUCUGUUGCCAGGGACGAACGCCAAGGAGAGUAACUGCUCUUUGGGUGACGGUACCUGAGAAGAAAGCCCCGGCUAACUACGUGCCAGCAGCCGCGGUAAUACGUAGGGGGCAAGCGUUGUCCGGAAUUAUUGGGCGUAAAGCGCGCGCAGGCGGCUCUUUAAGUCAGGUGUUUAAGCCCGAGGCUCAACCUCGGUACGCACCUGAAACUGGGGAGCUUGAGUGCAGGAGAGGAGAGCGGAAUUCCACGUGUAGCGGUGAAAUGCGUAGAU
This 600-nucleotide ribosomal RNA is filed under the name uncultured bacterium. RNAcentral's name for it is "bacterial SSU rRNA". It matches the Rfam family "Bacterial small subunit ribosomal RNA", at positions 108 to 695 of the family's 1533-position model. The record is from RNAcentral.